GCCUCUGUCUCUGGGCUCUGGCUCCACAGGCCCUGCGGGAUGUUGGAAAUCAGCCUUUCUCUGGGCUGGGGGAAGAAGGACAGAGCCUCAGCCCUGGGAACAUUGGAGCCCCCUGCGCCGCACACACAGCUCGAAGGUGGGACUGACUGUCGAUUCGCCUGGUGAGAAAUGCUGAAACAGUUUCUCAAAGCUGCAUUUGCCCAGUGGUUUGGAUUCUCUUUGGCUGUACCCUGAGCCCACCUUCGGUCGGCCCACAGGGUCCCCCCAUUCCCUACUCACCCAAUGUCCAGUGUUUGCCCUGACGUCGAUGUCGGAGGAAGAGGAAAACGAGGAGGAGGAGGAGGAGCAGUAGGACGACGGCCACCAAGACGCCGGUCACAAACCCCAGGUGCCUUCCCAGACCUUGAGCACGAUGACGUCAGGAAUAGGGGUGAUGUCAUUGAAAUGAGCGCCUACUGUGUGCAGAGCCGAGACCCGGAGCUGCAGGGAAAGAGCCUGACCGUCCUGAACCACGGCGCUGCUCCCCUCCCCUGCCCCAGGUCACCGUCUCUGCUGCAGCCAACAUCAGAGCCACACUGGAGGGUCAGCUUCUCCCCAGGGGCCACGACAAGAACCGGCUGCACUGAGAGUGAUGGCUUCUUAGAAACACCUGGGAAAAGGUGGUCAUGGUUUCCAGGAGCCGACCCUCAGGCUUCCCCACAAACCCUCCCUCUCCCCCGGGGCCUCACCACUGCUGAUCUUCCUGUGUCUCUGGCCCCAGGAGCCCUGAGCCCUCUUGCCCCAACAUCAUCCCCCCUGGAGCUGCCCUGAGACAUGGCUGCUCCCCACCUGCCUGGAGACUCAGGGAAACUCAGGGAACUCCAGGCAAUGCUGUGAAUUUCUCACCUGGGACCAGGAGCUCCAGGAGAUCACUGGGUAAAGACCACACAUAGGGAGUGCGCGAGUCAUAACCAUAGCACCUGUACAACCACCUGCGACUUGGGCUCACAGGGCCCAUGGAGAAGAUGGCGCGGGACGACCCA
Molecule: long non-coding RNA, 1022 nt
Filed under: Pongo abelii (Sumatran orangutan)
Lineage: Eukaryota; Metazoa; Chordata; Mammalia; Primates; Hominidae
Description: lncRNA (ENSPPYG00000032631.1)
Source: RNAcentral